AUCUCAUGGAAGAACAGAACUGCAGUGACAGAUUUGCUAAAACACAAAUUGUGACUCAGACUUCUACAAAAGUGCACUUUGAAAGGAAGGAUGUCAUAACAACCUCAUGGAAGAGGCAGCAGGGGGAUGCUGCUGCAGAUGGUGCAUGCGAGAGGAAGAAGUUACUUCAUUCAGAGUCAUCCACUCAACUGACUAUCACAGGAUGUGAAGAACAUAGCAUCUCUGCCCUUCAGAAUCCUUCAGAAAGGGAACGCCAACUCACUGAUAUACAUUGAGUAAGUCCCAGAUGUAGGUUUUUUUACUGAAAUGGAUAAAGUGUGUUUGGAGUAGAAUUUCUACCUGCCAAGGGAAGAUCAUAGAGGGUCAUUGACAAAAGUGAUCUUUGGUUUGGGCCUUGAAGGGUAAGUAAUAUUGUAGGAAGAAGGGGUGACGUUAGGAAAAUACAUUCCAUGCAGAAGGAGCCAAUCAUACAAAUAUCUUCUUAUGCAUUCCUGCCAUUCCCCUCUUAUGCCAUUGUACUAUGGCCCAGUUUACCCAUGUGUCUAGCCCUGCAUGAUAUUUAUUGACAAUUUUAUAUGAAUAAGGUAAAUGUAUGCCAUCCUUUACUUCUGUAGCUAUCCUUCCAUUUGGUUGGUUGGUUGGUUGCUUCCUUCUUAGCCUG
This 661-nucleotide long non-coding RNA is filed under the name Capra hircus (goat). RNAcentral describes it as "lncRNA (ENSCHIG00000004862.1)". The record is from RNAcentral. Lineage: Eukaryota; Metazoa; Chordata; Mammalia; Artiodactyla; Bovidae.